GUCAGCCCAAUUUAUAUUAAACAGUAUCCCCGUCACAGGAAAAGAAAGACGGGGUCAGACCUAUGAUCCAGUCCUUCCUUCAGCAGGGUAUACUAAGGCCUGUAGUCUCCUCCUAUAACUCCCCUAUUAACCCGGUCCCUAAGGCUACCAAGUACUACAGAUUUGUUCAAGACCUUAGGGCCAUUAACAAUCUAAUUAUCCCAAUAGCCCCCAUUGCCCCUGAUGUUAACACUCUGAU
This is a non-coding RNA of Pelobates cultripes (western spadefoot toad), 238 nucleotides long. NCBI's taxonomy places the organism in Eukaryota, Metazoa, Chordata, Amphibia, Anura, Pelobatidae. The record is from the annotation of a GenBank genome assembly.